UGAUGAAAGCAUCAUCUCCCAACGGAGGC
Molecule: small RNA, 29 nt
Filed under: Bombyx mori (domestic silkworm)
Lineage: Eukaryota; Metazoa; Arthropoda; Insecta; Lepidoptera; Bombycidae
Description: ovarian small RNA-32765
Source: RNAcentral